GAUGAACGCUGGCGGCGUGCCUAAUACAUGCAAGUCGAGCGAACGGACGAGAAGCUUGCUUCUCUGAUGUUAGCGGCGGACGGGUGAGUAACACGUGGAUAACCUACCUAUAAGACUGGGAUAACUUCGGGAAACCGGAGCUAAUACCGGAUGAUAUUUUGAACCGCAUGGUUCAAAAGUGAAAGACGGUCUUGCUGUCACUUAUAGAUGGAUCCGCGCUGCAUUAGCUAGUUGGUAAGGUAACGGCUUACCAAGGCAACGAUGCAUAGCCGACCUGAGAGGGUGAUAGGCCACCCUGGAACUGCGACACGGUCCAGACUCCUACGGGAGGCAGCAGUAGGGAAUCUUCCGCAAUGGGCGAAAGCCUGACGGAGCAACGCCGCGUGAGUGAUGAAGGUCUUCGGAUCGUAAAACUCUGUUAUUAGGGAAGAACAUAUGUGUAAGUAACUGUGCACAUCUUGACGGUACCUAAUCAGAAAGCCACGGCUAACUACGUG
RNAcentral lists this ribosomal RNA (497 nucleotides) under uncultured bacterium. Its description in RNAcentral is "partial 16S ribosomal RNA". It matches the Rfam family "Bacterial small subunit ribosomal RNA", at positions 28 to 507 of the family's 1533-position model. The record is from RNAcentral.